UGAACGCUGGCGGCAUGCCUUACACAUGCAAGUCGAACGGCAGCACGGGUGCUUGCACCUGGUGGCGAGUGGCGAACGGGUGAGUAAUACAUCGGAACAUGUCCUGUAGUGGGGGAUAGCCCGGCGAAAGCCGGAUUAAUACCGCAUACGAUCUACGGAUGAAAGCGGGGGACCUUCGGGCCUCGCGCUAUAGGGUUGGCCGAUGGCUGAUUAGCUAGUUGGUGGGGUAAAGGCCUACCAAGGCGACGAUCAGUAGCUGGUCUGAGAGGACGACCAGCCACACUGGGACUGAGACACGGCCCAGACUCCUACGGGAGGCAGCAGUGGGGAAUUUUGGACAAUGGGCGAAAGCCUGAUCCAGCAAUGCCGCGUGUGUGAAGAAGGCCUUCGGGUUGUAAAGCACUUUUGUCCGGAAAGAAAUCCUUGGCUCUAAUACAGUCGGGGGAUGACGGUACCGGAAGAAUAAGCACCGGCUAACUACGUGCCAGCAGCCGCGGUAAUACGUAGGGUGCGAGCGUUAAUCGGAAUUACUGGGCGUAAAGCGUGCGCAGGCGGUUUGCUAAGACCGAUGUGAAAUCCCCGGGCUCAACCUGGGAACUGCAUUGGUGACUGGCAGGCUAGAGUAUGGCAGAGGGGGGUAGAAUUCCACGUGUAGCAGUGAAAUGCGUAGAGAUGUGGAGGAAUACCGAUGGCGAAGGCAGCCCCCUGGGCCAAUACUGACGCUCAUGCACGAAAGCGUGGGGAGCAAACAGGAUUAGAUACCCUGGUAGUCCACGCCCUAAACGAUGUCAACUAGUUGUUGGGGAUUCAUUUCCUUAGUAACGUAGCUAACGCGUGAAGUUGACCGCCUGGGGAGUACGGUCGCAAGAUUAAAACUCAAAGGAAUUGACGGGGACCCGCACAAGCGGUGGAUGAUGUGGAUUAAUUCGAUGCAACGCGAAAAACCUUACCUACCCUUGACAUGGUCGGAAUCCUGCUGAGAGGCGGGAGUGCUCGAAAGAGAACCGGCGCACAGGUGCUGCACGGCUGUCGUCAGCUCGUGUCGUGAGAUGUUGGGUUAAGUCCCGCAACGAGCGCAACCCUUGUCCUUAGUUGCUACGCAAGAGCACUCUAAGGAGACUGCCGGUGACAAACCGGAGGAAGGUGGGGAUGACGUCAAGUCCUCAUGGCCCUUAUGGGUAGGGCUUCACACGUCAUACAAUGGUCGGAACAGAGGGUUGCCAACCCGCGAGGGGGAGCUAAUCCCAGAAAACCGAUCGUAGUCCGGAUUGCACUCUGCAACUCGAGUGCAUGAAGCUGGAAUCGCUAGUAAUCGCGGAUCAGCAUGCCGCGGUGAAUGCGUUCCCGGGUCUUGUACACACCGCC
RNAcentral lists this ribosomal RNA (1365 nucleotides) under uncultured beta proteobacterium. Its description in RNAcentral is "16S ribosomal RNA". It matches the Rfam family "Bacterial small subunit ribosomal RNA", at positions 30 to 1394 of the family's 1533-position model. The record is from RNAcentral. Lineage: Bacteria; Pseudomonadati; Pseudomonadota; Betaproteobacteria.